This 85-nucleotide transfer RNA is filed under the name compost metagenome. Its description in RNAcentral is "tRNA-Arg". The record is from RNAcentral.
UGCAGCUGGGCGUCGGUCUCGCGGUGCGCGUCGAUCUCCUGGAUCAGCAGGCGGGUCUGGCGGUUCGACUCCUCCAGCGCCACCC